GUAGGUGGCAAGCGUUAUCCGGAAUUAUUGGGCGUAAAGCGCGCGUAUGCGGUUUUUUAAGUCUGAUGUGAAAGCCCACGGCUCAACCGUGGAGGGUCAUUGGAAACUGGAAAACUUGAGUGCAGAAGAGGAAAGUGGAAUUCCAUGUGUAGCGGUGAAAUGCGCAGAGAUAUGGAGGAACACCAGUGGCGAAGGCGACUUUCUGGUCUGUAACUGACGCUGAUGUGCG
RNAcentral lists this ribosomal RNA (229 nucleotides) under Staphylococcus aureus. RNAcentral describes it as "partial 16S ribosomal RNA". It matches the Rfam family "Bacterial small subunit ribosomal RNA", at positions 527 to 755 of the family's 1533-position model. Lineage: Bacteria; Bacillati; Bacillota; Bacilli; Caryophanales; Staphylococcaceae. The record is from RNAcentral.